GCCUGGCUGGCUCAGUCGGGAGAGCAUGAGACUCUCAAUCUCAGGGUUUUGAGUUCAAGCCCCACCUUGGCA
Molecule: transfer RNA, 72 nt
Filed under: Canis lupus familiaris (dog)
Lineage: Eukaryota; Metazoa; Chordata; Mammalia; Carnivora; Canidae
Also listed under: 1 other name
Rfam family: tRNA
About the family: Transfer RNA (tRNA) molecules are approximately 80 nucleotides in length. Their secondary structure includes four short double-helical elements and three loops (D, anti-codon, and T loops). Further hydrogen bonds mediate the characteristic L-shaped molecular structure. tRNAs have two regions of fundamental functional importance: the anti-codon, which is responsible for specific mRNA codon recognition, and the 3' end, to which the tRNAs corresponding amino acid is attached (by aminoacyl-tRNA synthetases). tRNAs cope with the degeneracy of the genetic code in two manners: having more than one tRNA (with a specific anti-codon) for a particular amino acid; and 'wobble' base-pairing, i.e. permitting non-standard base-pairing at the 3rd anti-codon position.
Source: Rfam by way of RNAcentral